CACCAGGUUGAUUCUGCCUGACGUGGAUGCUAGUUUCAUAGACUAAGCCAUGCAUGUGUAAGCGAAGCUUUUAGUGGAGCUGCGGAAGGCUCAGUAACGGGCGUCUAAUUUGAUCUCUUAGAGCGGACAACCUCUGUAAACGGAGGACAAAACGCAUUAUGGGCAUGUCUGAAAGAUGCCUAAACAACCGAAGGGUGUGAGAGAAUAAGGGGCCAUCCCAUCAGUUAGUAAGUAAGGUAAAGGCCUACUUAGACGAAGACGGGUACGGGGAAUUAUUGUUCGAUUCCGGAGAGGGAGCCUGAGAGAUGGCUACCAGGUCCAAGGAUAGCAGCAGGCGCGAAAAUUACCGAAGCCUAAAGUAGGGCGGUAGUAAUGAAACGUGAAAACGAUGUACUGAUAAAAGAGGUAGUAGUGACUGGAGGUAAAGACUGGUGCCAGCAUCCGCGGUAAUACCAGCUCCAGGAGUGUCUAUGAUGAUUGUUGCAAUUAAAGAGUUCGUAGUCGAGUAGCAUGACAGGUCUUUAAAGUGGUGGAUCAAACGACGACCAGGAUCUGAAAAGCUAGGAAUGAGGAGCGAUCAGGGGCUAGUUUAUUAAGCGACGAAAGGUGAAAUUUGAUGACUCGCUUAGGAGAAACGGAGGCGAAGGCGCUAGCCAGGAGCGAAUCCGAUGAUAAAGGACGUAGGCUAGAGGAUCGAAGACGAUUAGAGACCGUUGUAGUUCUAGCAGUAAACGAUGCCGACGCUGUGCUAUGAAUUGUAGUGCGGAAGAGAAAUCGAGUAGGGCCUUGGGGAGAGUACAUACGCAAGUAAGAAACUUAAACGAAAUUGACGGAAGAACACCACAAGGAGUGGAGUGUGCGGCUUAAUUUGACUCAACGCGGGACAGCUUACCAAGCCCGACGACUGGACGAGUGUAGUACACGAUAGGUCGGAGAGUGGUGCAUGGCCGUUAACGACAAGUGGGGUGACCUUAUGGUUAAGUCCGGGAAGUAGUGAGACCCCUGCUAGCGGAAGACGAGGCGAGUUAGGACAGGUACGCAAAGUACAGGAAGGAAGGGUCAAGAACAGGUCAGUGAUGCCCUCAGAUGGCUUGGGCUGCACGCGCACUACAGUGGUCACACGAAUAAAGGAAAGUAACAGUAAAGGUGAUUGAGAGGGAAUGAGCUUUGUAAGAGGCUCAGGAACGAGGAAUUGCUAGUAAUCGCAGACUCAUUAAGAUGCGAUGAAUACGUCCCUGUUCUUUGUACACACCGCCCGUCGUUAUCGAAGAUGGAAUCAGGUGCGAACAAGUGAAAACGAGUGAGUACAGGAUUCUAGAUGUGAUACAAGUCGUAACAAGGUAGCUGUAGGAGAACCUGUAGCUGGAUCAGACUGAGAGAAACGAAAGAGUAGAGUUAGAAGAGUAAAGAAAACCCUGCGCAAGGGAUCUUUUGGUUCGGUGAGCGAGGAAGAGCGCAGCGGAGAGCGAGAUGUGCAGGAGCAGCGGCGAUGACGGCACGUGCUUGAAGAUGCGGUGGCAGGACAACCCCUUAGAUUUAAGCAUAUUAGUAAAGGGAGGAAAAGAAACUAACGAGGAUUCCUGUAGUAGCGGCGAGCGAACAAGGAGGAGCCCAAAGUGUAAUUGAUGGAGCGAUCUGUUGAGAUGUCRAAAAAGCACGGCGUAACCAGUCUGGAACGGAGGGCCUAAGAGGGUGAUAGCCCCGUGWGCGUGCAGGGAGAAGGAGUAGCAGUGCUCGGUAGUGCACUGUGAACGGGUGGCAGCGUCCAUCCAAGGCUAAAUAUAACACCGAGACCGAUAGAGGAUAAGUAGAGUGAUCGAAGAAGGAAUAGACUGAAAAAGUGAAAUUGCGCAGGGAUCCGAUUAGAUCGGACCCGUCUUGAAACACGGACC
RNAcentral lists this ribosomal RNA (1892 nucleotides) under Microsporidia sp. UJ_BURB. RNAcentral's name for it is "bacterial SSU rRNA". The record is from RNAcentral. Lineage: Eukaryota; Fungi; Microsporidia.